RNAcentral lists this long non-coding RNA (2184 nucleotides) under Linum usitatissimum (flax). RNAcentral's name for it is "long non-coding RNA (LUSI_LNC006933)". The record is from RNAcentral. Lineage: Eukaryota; Viridiplantae; Streptophyta; Magnoliopsida; Malpighiales; Linaceae.
CUGUUGGUCGGCCAAUAUUGGAUAGUCAACUAGCGCACUGGGUAACUCGAAUAUCUAAUAUAAGAAUAGCUGCCCCGUUCUCAAAAAGAAGCAUGGAAAGAGCUGUGAAUCAGAAAGAUAAGUUGAAGUUGCGUAAACUCACUCUACUUAAAGGUUUUAUAGGUACUUAUUCAAGUAUGGGAUGUAAGAUGACAAGUAUGUGUGGUAAGAUGACUCUACAAACGAAGACAGAGAGUGGCUACCCCUGCGAAGGUUAAAGAGGUUAAGUUGCCUGUUCUGCUUGAAGGAAUAGGGAGAAGGUACUCGACCAACUAAUCUGUAUUGGGUAUAACGUGAUAGUAGACUCCAUAUAUCCUAUUUGAAAUAGUGCUUCCUGCCCGUGACGAGUAAGAAAAGAAAUGAACCGUGUGGUAAGCCACAUCCCUCUAUAUUCCUCCUAUGCUUAUCUUAUGUGACGCUUGUCCUCUACUUCUGAUGAACGAAAGCGUUCGGCUAAUCUGCUCAAGCAAGUGAGAAAUAGGACUCAUUUUUCACUACGUAAUUAGACAAGAUACUUUUUGUGGUUCCUGGAAUCCAUAGGGUCAAUAAAUGUGCCAUGUCGCCUUUGAAGGCGUAGUGUAGACUAUUUUCAUUCCACUUUCAUAUUUCUACACUGUCCUUUCGCGCUACACUAGGACGCUUAUAUCCGUUGCUUGCAUUCUUCCUUCCUCUCUAUUUGAUUUGCUUCCUUUGAAGUUUGAGCUUUGCCAUCUUUUACAUUGUCCUGUGCCCUUGUCUUUUGCUCUAUGGCAUCAAAGGAUGCGCCUACUCAGGGCGUUCAAAGCAGCGUGGUAGAUCAGGUUAUAUAAUAAGGGAAGCCUUAAGAAAGCGUCAAUUCUCGUCAAUCAGGAUCGGGGCUCAGGCUACCCAUGUACAACCUCCACAGAUUGCAAAACGGAAGGAGAACUCACUGUCCAAAUGGAGGGACAGGGGAUCGGAGAGAAGUAAACUCCGGACAUCUUUUUUCCGAAGAACUCCUCACAUGGUCAGUGAAGGUAUUCCCUACCAAGUUGAUAUACCUAAAAAAGAAAGAAAUGCACAUCCCGAAGUCGAAAAGGAUAGGGAGAUUGAAAAAGAAAAGGAUGCAAUGAUGAAUACACAGGAGGAUCAGACGAAGAAUCGCGAUCUAUGGCAAUUCUAGUUUCAACAGAAGGUCGUCAGUUCCAGUCAUCUCAUUGAUGCUCAUCACCUGUCACAACUCUCGAUAAAUGUCUUUCUUUGAAUGUCUUUGACUAAAAUAUCUACUUUCAUUCAACUUUAGAGAAGUCUAGUCCUUAUGCGCUAGUGCGCUCAUCCGUUACUUCAAGUGCUUUCCCUUGAGCUAAUCCUCUUGCAGGAGCGAGGACAGUUCGAGCGUUAGAAGUAGCUGAGUCAAGGUAGCAUUCCCUGUUAGCACUACUCGCCGUAUAGAGAUUUGACUUUCACGGGCUUUGCUUUGACACGUGCCCCCUUGCUUUUAGGAAUUAAAGACCCGUGCAUUAAAGAUAUAAGGGAUGAGGCUUUCGAUCAAAAAAGCGGGGACUCCCAGAAGGAGAACAGAUUUACUUCGGGUGUUGUGCUCUUGCCUCCAGUUCUUCACAGGAGAGAGGGUAGCUCUGCAUCUAUUUCUGUUGAUUCCCUUGGUUUAGUCCCUUGAAGAAGGUAGGGCAGAAGGUUUAGGAUCACAAAGAGAAUCUGGAUAAGAAGAUUCGACUGAAAGGUCUGUGAUUAAAGCUUUCUUUCAAGGAAUGCAGCUACUCGGCUAACUAGGAUCGUAGUUUCACUUAAUAGGGUUCGGCGGAGAAGACAUAGAUUCCUGGAACGAAGCUAAAGGUAUUCGCUUAUAAUCAACAAUUAAUGUGGCUUUUUUCCCUCUAUUUUAUCAUGCCUCGAAGUUUACCCUUUUUUCACGUUCUCCAUACUCUAAAAGUGAGUGAAUCACUUCCAACUGAAUAAGAUGGGAUUGGAAUCCCUUUUUUGUAGAGUCCACCAUGGGAAAAUCAUACCCAAUGUGAUAGGAGUACCUAGUCCCCUGGUUAGUAGUUGUUUAGCUCUAUCUCCGCCCCGUAAUAUGGUUUAAUCGCUAAUUUUUUUUUGUUCAUGGGCCUAUUCUCUUUCUCCUUCCCUUGCUUGUUCUCGCGUAGUGGGAAGUUCUCCAUUCCGCCU